UACGAAGGGUGCAAGCGUUAAUCGGAAUUACUGGGCGUAAAGCGUGCGUAGGCGGUUUCUUAAGUCUGCUGUGAAAUCCCCGGGCUCAACCUGGGAAUGGCAGUGGAUACUGGGAGGCUAGAGUGUGUCAGAGGGUGGUGGAAUUCCCGGUGUAGCGGUGAAAUGCGUAGAGAUCGGGAGGAACAUCAGUGGCGAAGGCGGCCACCUGGGACAACACUGACGCUGAGGCACGAAAGCGUGGGGAGCAAAC
Molecule: ribosomal RNA, 250 nt
Filed under: uncultured bacterium
Lineage: Bacteria
Description: partial 16S ribosomal RNA
Rfam family: Bacterial small subunit ribosomal RNA
Source: RNAcentral